GUGGGGAAUCUUAGACAAUGGGGGAAACCCUGAUCUAGCCAUGCCGCGUGAGCGAUGAAGGCCUUAGGGUUGUAAAGCUCUUUCAGCUGGGAAGAUAAUGACGGUACCAGCAGAAGAAGCCCCGGCUAACUCCGUGCCAGCAGCCGCGGUAAUACGGAGGGGGCUAGCGUUGUUCGGAAUUACUGGGCGUAAAGCGCGCGUAGGCGGGCCAGAAAGUUGGAGGUGAAAUCCCAGGGCUCAACCUUGGAACUGCCUUCAAAACUCCUGGUCUGGAGUUCGAGAGAGGUGAGUGGAAUUCCGAGUGUAGAGGUGAAAUUCGUAGAUAUUCGGAGGAACACCAGUGGCGAAGGCGGCUCACUGGCUCGAUACUGACGCUGAGGUGCGAAAGCGUGGGGAGCAAACAGGAUUAGAAACCCCUGUAGUCC
RNAcentral lists this ribosomal RNA (425 nucleotides) under uncultured bacterium. RNAcentral describes it as "partial 16S ribosomal RNA". It matches the Rfam family "Bacterial small subunit ribosomal RNA", at positions 354 to 796 of the family's 1533-position model. The record is from RNAcentral.